Molecule: small nuclear RNA, 162 nt
Organism: Cyprinus carpio carpio
Lineage: Eukaryota; Metazoa; Chordata; Actinopteri; Cypriniformes; Cyprinidae
Gene: U1
Rfam family: U1 spliceosomal RNA
About the family: U1 is a small nuclear RNA (snRNA) component of the spliceosome (involved in pre-mRNA splicing). Its 5' end forms complementary base pairs with the 5' splice junction, thus defining the 5' donor site of an intron.
Source: Ensembl
AUACUUACCUAGCAGGGGAGACACCAUGAUCAAAAAGGCAGUUCACCCAGGGCGAGGCUCGUCCAUUGCACUCCGGCCGUGCUGACCCCUGCGAAUUCGUCAAAUGUGGGAAUCUCGACUGCAUAAUUUAUGGUAGUGGGGGACUGCAUUUGCACUCUCCCC